This 342-nucleotide long non-coding RNA is filed under the name Ananas comosus (pineapple). Its description in RNAcentral is "long non-coding RNA (ACOM_LNC030321)". The record is from RNAcentral. Lineage: Eukaryota; Viridiplantae; Streptophyta; Magnoliopsida; Poales; Bromeliaceae.
CACGAAUAAUUUUAUACAUCCAUGGAAGGAAAAAAUACUCAUCACACCAGAUAGUGUAUUGUCAUUUGAUACGUUAACUAAUUCCCAUUCGCCUCCCAUUGGACAUUUCACCGUGAUGCGUAGACGGUCUUCCACUCGAUCAUAAUUAGUAACAUUAUAUAUUUCCAUCUCAAAUUUCCGAAAUGAGAUAUCACGUCGGACCACAACCAAUUCUUUACGGCCACCAAUAUAUCGUGAUACAUUAUUGUUCUCGACAAAAUUUCUGUCCCAAUGGAUAUAGAAAGGAACACAGUCGCCAGAUAUAGAGUUCUAAAGUAAUAUAAUAAAAUGUAAAUAAAUAUU